CAGGACGAACGCUGGCGGCGUGCCUAAUACAUGCAAGUAGAACGCUGAAGGAAGGAGCUUGCUCUUUCCGGAUGAGUUGCGAACGGGUGAGUAACGCGUAGGUAACCUGCCUGGUAGCGGGGGAUAACUAUUGGAAACGAUAGCUAAUACCGCAUAACAGUAGAUAUCGCAUGAUAUUUGCUUGAAAGGUGCAAUUGCACCACUACCAGAUGGACCUGCGUUGUAUUAGCUAGUUGGUGAGGUAACGGCUCACCAAGGCAACGAUACAUAGCCGACCUGAGAGGGUGAUCGGCCACACUGGGACUGAGACACGGCCCAGACUCCUACGGGAGGCAGCAGUAGGGAAUCUUCGGCAAUGGACGGAAGUCUGACCGAGCAACGCCGCGUGAGUGAAGAAGGUUUUCGGAUCGUAAAGCUCUGUUGUAAGAGAAGAACGAGUGUGAGAGUGGAAAGUUCACACUGUGACGGUAUCUUACCAGAAAGGGACGGCUAACUACGUGCCAGCAGCCGCGGUAAUACGUAGGUCCCGAGCGUUGUCCGGAUUUAUUGGGCGUAAAGCGAGCGCAGGCGGUUAGAUAAGUCUGAAGUUAAAGGCUGUGGCUUAACCAUAGUACGCUUUGGAAACUGUUUAACUUGAGUGCAAGAGGGGAGAGUGGAAUUCCAUGUGUAGCGGUGAAAUGCGUAGAUAUAUGGAGGAACACCGGUGGCGAAAGCGGCUCUCUGGCUUGUAACUGACGCUGAGGCUCGAAAGCGUGGGGAGCA
RNAcentral lists this ribosomal RNA (762 nucleotides) under uncultured Streptococcaceae bacterium. Its description in RNAcentral is "bacterial SSU rRNA". It matches the Rfam family "Bacterial small subunit ribosomal RNA", at positions 25 to 770 of the family's 1533-position model. Lineage: Bacteria; Bacillati; Bacillota; Bacilli; Lactobacillales; Streptococcaceae. The record is from RNAcentral.